UGGGGCGUGGGGAGAAGAAGAGAGGAAGAAGAGGGAGAAGAGAAGAAGAAGAAGAAGANNNNNNNNNNNNNNNNNNNNGAAGAAGAGGAGAGAAGAAGAGAAGGGAAAGGAGGAGCUGCGGCUGCGGCGGUGGCAGCUGCAACUGGAAGAGAAGGAGAGGAAGAGAAGGUGAGGAAGAAGAGAAGAAGAAGAAAGGAAGGAGAGGAAGAAGAGAAGGGGAAGAAGGGGUUGCGGCUGCGGCGAUGGCAGCUGCAACUGGAAGAGAAGAAGGAGAGGAAGAUGAGCAGGGGAGGAAGAAGAGGCUGCGGUCGUGGCUGAGGCUGCGACUGUAGCAGUGCAGCUGGGAAAGAAGAGAAGGAAAGGAAGAAGAAGUGAAAGGAAAAGGGAAGAAGGGAGGAAGAGAAGAAGUAGAAGCGGGUAAAGAGGCGGCACCUCUUUUUCCUGCAGGAGGAAACAGAGCAGAGGAGGUGUUGUUCGUCGGGGAGAAGAAGGGGAGGAAGGAGAAGAAGAAGAAAGGAAGGAGAAGGAAGAGGAGAAGGGAAUGAAGUAGCUGCGGCUCCGGCUGUGGCAGCUGCAGCUGUGGCAGGGAAAGAAAAAGAGGAAGGAAGAAGGGAAGGAGAGGAAGAUGAGCAGGGGAGGAAGAAGAGGCUGCGGUCGUGGCUCAGGCUGCGACUGUAGCAGUGCAGCUGGGAAAGAAGAGAAGGAAAGGAAGAAGAAGAGAAAGGAAAAGGGAAGAAGAGAGGAAGAGGAGAAGGGGAGGCAGCUGCGGCAGUGGCAGCUGCAGCUGGAAGAGAAGGAGUGGAAACAUUGCAGGGGAGGAAGAAGAGGCUGCGGCUGUGGUAGUUGCGACCGUGGCUGCGACGUUGGCUGCGGUAGCUGCGGCAGCGGUGGUGGCUGCAGCAGCUGCUUUUGGGAAAGAGAAAGAAAGGAAAGGGGAAAAAAAAAAGGGGCUAUGGCCGUGAUUGCGGCUGCGGUGGUGGCGGCUGCGUCUGCGGCAGUUGUGUUUGGGAAAGAAAAAGCAGGAACGAGAGAAGGGAGGAAGGAAGUAGUGUAGUGGAAGGGGCUGCGGUUGUGACAGCAGCUGCGAUCGUGGCUACGACUGUGGUAGUGGCAGCGGCGAUGGCUGCGACAGCUAUGUUUGAAAAAGAAAACAGAGGAAUGAAAGUAAGAGAGAGCAUGUGACUAUGCCUCUAUGUUCUGCAUGAGCUACAAUUAUGGGGAAAAAAAAAGACGUGUAGAAAACGAAACAAGGAGAGGACACAGAGGAAAAGUAGAAGGAUUUGGGCUGACACCUUCUUUGGAUCUUCGGAUCAAAAUAUUUGAAAGGCAAGUUUCCCGAUCGUUCUCCUGUAAUUGUUCUAAUUUUUCUUAUUGCAAGUAUUAUGAUCUUCCUCGUGCACGUGUUCCGAUCCUUCGUAUUGCAAGCUUUCAAUUCUUUCCUAUUGCAAGUGUCCUGAUCUUUCCUUACUGUAAUUUUAUCUCUACAUUUGCUUUGAAUAUGAGGAACUUUAAAUUUUUCUAGCCUUGCAUUUGAUAUAUCUCCUGUUUAGACGUAACGAUUCAAAUCUGUGUAACUUCUGAGAUUCUGACCUUUCUACUUUGUUAUGGUUAUAACUUCAUGUAUUGAUCUCUGAUUUAGACAAAACUUAUUUGAUCAGAAUAUAGACUCAUAAACCUUUCUUUUGAUAGCUUAUUUUAGGAAUUCAGAGUAAGUUUGCCUGCCCAGUUUUUUGUUGAAACCGACCUUGUGAAUUCUAUAAAAUUGAGAUUUGUUCUUUGAUCUUGGGUUACUAAAUCUAUGGUAACUCCUUGUUUGAAACCUUGAUUCGUACGAAAUUUAUUUCAUCAGAAACUAGAUAGAAAUAUCUUUCCAAUGAUAUAUUUUCUAAGUAAAAUUGGAGCACGAUUGAUAGUUUGAUUCAUUUGUUCAAAUUGCCUCUUGUAUUCUGCCAGAAAUCAAGCUUUGGUCGAUUUCUCAUAUUUUGGUUUCAUUCUUUUGAAAAUUGAUAUCCUUUAGCUUUCUUAUUUAAUUGAGCUUUAUAUUACUGCUUUAAAUACUUGUAUGCUCUUGCCCUACAUGUAUUUGGAUACCUAAAUCUGUUAUGUAAACUUCAUGUUUGUAUCGUAAUGUUUCAUAAAGGCACAUGUACAUUUCAUUGUUCCGCAUGUGCUUUCGAUAUGUCCCAAUUUAUUGUUCACAAUGCCCUUUUGUACUCUGGUGUUUGUGGGAUUAUUUGGACCUUUGCUAGAAAUGGUAAAGGGUAUGUGCUUAGAGCCCGCGAUACUUUAGAUUAUGUUUGGUGGUCAUUCAGAAAUGGAUGGACCAUAUUAUGUUUGGAAUCCCACUUCACCAUCUAUCUGUUUGAUUUGAAAUUCAGAGCCGACCUAGCACUUGGGCAGGGUGAGAGGGCUCGAGUAGGAAAGGGCUACCCGUGGGUGGAGUCAAGAACUCAUCAUGGCGUGGAGCCACCACUGAGUUAAACCUCACAUGCACUAUGCUUGGGUAAGACGUCCGAGCUUUUGUUUCAUAUUUUGUAUUGAUAUGCUCCAAAAUGUUUCCUAUGCCAUUGAUAUACUUCAAAAUGCUUCACAUACCAUUGAUAUGUUCCGAAAUGUUCCAUUUGUCAUUGAUAUUCUGCGGAACAUCUCGUAUGCUAUUGAUAUGCUCCAAUUACUCUAUGCUCCAUUUGUUAUGAACCAAAUAUGUUAUGAAUGAAAUGACAUUUGCGAUUCUGUAUCUAAUGAGAUGAUAUCCUUGAAUCUCUUGGAUUCUGUCUUGCAUUGUGAUUUCUUGUUUGUUUGAAACUGUCCCUUCUCGUGCUAUAUAUGCUUUGUUACUUGUUGAGCUAUUUUAAGCUCACUCCGUUGUUAUAUAAAUCUUUCAGGUCAGCUUGUCACUCUUUAAGAUGUUUGAAUUGGGCUGAGGCCGUGGAGAGCUAUUCUGAAUUAUGGGCAAGUCUUGUUGGUUAUUAUGUUAUUGUUGUAUAAGCAUAUUUUGUAUGUAAUGAAAUGUUGUCGAUGAAUCGAAAUGGAUAUACUAUGUAAAAGUGUUAGAAGA
Molecule: long non-coding RNA, 3058 nt
Filed under: Musa acuminata (dwarf banana)
Lineage: Eukaryota; Viridiplantae; Streptophyta; Magnoliopsida; Zingiberales; Musaceae
Description: long non-coding RNA (MACU_LNC008238)
Source: RNAcentral